This 12863-nucleotide long non-coding RNA is filed under the name Homo sapiens (human). RNAcentral's name for it is "non-protein coding lnc-RHBDD1-6:6". Lineage: Eukaryota; Metazoa; Chordata; Mammalia; Primates; Hominidae. The record is from RNAcentral.
ACUGCGGCUACAGAGCCCCGAGUGGGAGGCCGGGGGGAGGCGGGGGCGCCGGAGCUGGGCUGCCUCUUACCUAUCAGGUAAGACUGACCCACGGGAGGGAGGUUUCUAGUCAAGGCUGUUUCCCCCAGGAAAUUUAAAAGCUAGAUUUCGGCUUCAGGGCGAUAGGCCAUGGUGAGGGGAUCUGUAUUUUUUAAGGUUUUUCUAAAGGACUUCUGGGCCAGCCUUCCACCUUGGGAUCCCCAGAUUUGCUGCCGUGAGGUACCUGGAAGGAACAGAGGGACGCCCAAGGGCAGUGACUGGGGGCAGUUAUGGUCACUACAAAAGGAGAACAGGGAUCCCCAGGAAGUGUCUCACGUCCGGCGCUGUGGAAUUAGUUGCUGAUCAAGUAGGGAGAAAAUGUAAAUAUCACCUUUUCUCCUGCUCCCCUUGCCCAUCCGUGUGACGGGGGGACUCACACCUAAGGCUGAGGGCAUGGGGGAGGGGAAAUGAGAGGUCCCUUAUCAUAUUCCGAAGUCUAUCCGUGACUUUAAAAAGCUGUUAGGGACCUUCAGAGGGUUCAUAAGGCCAAAACCCUACUGUGCAAAUAUUGGCUGAAAUGUUUGUUUCACACACAGCUCCCACACCCAUUGAACCACCCUAUAAGUUUUUAACCUUGACCACAAGGAUAACAGGGAGAAAACAAGGAUGGUGCCAGCUCAACUGUACAGGAAAAUGGUUACUUCAUGAGUGGACCAGAUCAGCAGCCUGGGUCUACUUGAAGCGCCCCUUUCAGGGUCACCUUGCGGUAUCAGUCUCCCCACAAACAAACGCUCCCCAGAGUUUUUUUAUUUUUUAAGCCGACCUAUAAACAAGCAGUUUGUCCCUGCUUGCUCGCCUGGCACUAAGGACCCACAGAGAUGUCACUCGGUUUAAUGCUGUCUCAUUUUGAUGCCUGGCCCGUUUGGGGUUGCCGCCCCUUUACUACGCCGGGACCCUCCUCGGCCUCAGGCUCCCAGGCACUGCAGGAUGCUGGCUGGGCACUCAGCAGUCGAGGCGCUGGGCAUGCUCAGUGGCUGGGACCCGGCGGGCCGCGGGGGAGCGCGCCUCGGCCCAAUGCGGCUGAGGGGCGGAGCGAGUUUCCCGGGGAGGCCUGCUGAUUGGUGGGAUGGCCUGUUUUUCAAGCCUUGCACUGCAGAGGGAAGGUGGGGGUAGAAGGGUUGAGGGUACCAAGGUAGGUUGCAAAGCGUAGUAAAAAAAGAAAAAGAAGAUGAUGAUGAUGAAGGAGAAAAAGAACCAUAGGCGCCAUUCAGGGGUGUGCGAUACGUAAAUUAGGGGGAUUGGGCAUCUGCAGAGGGGCUCCUCCCCACCCAAGCCUGGGAGCCUCUCGUUUCUCCUCUCCCCUUCCUGUUCCCGGUCGUCAUGCAGCCUCAUCUAAACCUGGUUAAUCUAUAAUUUGAGUACACAUGUUGAAUUGAAAGCCCUCCCUUCUUUUCCUCUGACAGCUUGGUGAUGUGGGCACACGUGCCCACUACAGCAAGGCUAUUAAUAGCAGAUAUUUGGAAAUGGAAGCGAGGCGGCACUCACAGUGACCGAAAUUCUGGGGGUAUAGAGUGCCUUACAGGGGGUAGGGCAGGGAGGUGCAGAAUAAAGAAGCCUGAAGUUGGUGGAAAAGUGUAACUGUGUGCCUGGUUUUACCCUAGACAAGAAAAAAGAGAGAUUAUAAAAGGGUUGUUUACUAGUAACAAUGUAAUCCAGAUAAGGCCAAAGGGCUUUUCACAGGUUUGAUGUUUAGCGCUGGGAUGGGGGUAGUGGAGUAAUUAACAUUUUGUAAGACAACAAAUCAAAUCCAUGGACAUUUACUUUUCAAAUGGCCCUGUCCCUACCUCCGUCCCUCCACCCCCCACCCCCCAAAAAAAGCUAAAUAAAGGUACUGUACCUCUAUGGGGGAAAAAUACUCUUUUCUGGAAGGAGGGGAGGGUUGGAAAAUUUAUUUGCACGUACCUCACAAUUAUCUUCAUAGGAAGGAUUUUGAUCAUAAAAAGCUAAUUAUGAUAAUAAACCUUUUAAAAAAUAUAUCUCUCAGUGUUAAAGCAUUUCUGCUUUAAAAAACACAAUUUCAGUUGCUAAAUAUUCGAUAAAAAUUAUGAAAUAAGCCUCACUGCUGUGACAAAUUAUGUUCAGACCAAUGGGUUUCCUAUGGAAGAUAAUCACUGAUCAUAGGAUAUUAGUGCCAUUUUUUCUACUUGCUGAUGUUUUACUACCAAUUUAAAGGUGGUUAAUAUUUGUUAUAAUUAUACUACAGUAAAUUCAAUUGUUCUCUACAAUUGUUUUAUUAAUGGGCUAACUGGAAAUUCAUUUACAUUUGGUUCAUGUAAUAUAUAGAAUAGAAAGAGACGCGUUUGUGGGAACUCACUGAAGUAAUGCUGAGCAGGUAUGGGUAUUAUUCUGUCACCUAAGCUAAAUUAGUCUUUUGGUGUAUUGUAAUGAAAUACACUGUAUGAAAAAUUUACUCCCCACUGAAAAUUCACGGAACAGAAGAACAAGCUAUUACCAAAAUCUGUUGCUCAAUGCUGCCAUCUAUAGGAGAGUUAGAGCCGAUUUGUGUAAUAUGCUAAGGUUCAUUUUAAAAGAGGGCUAAAAUAGUGAUUUCAUCACAACAUUGCAACAGCUACGUUGAUGUCACUAAUACAGUCCUAAUUCAAGGAGUUAAGGGUUUACAUGCUAUGGACGCACUUUGGGGCAAUAGGUCUACAACUAGCUUUAAAAUUGAGUUAUUGGUUUAUGUAUGAUACUAUCAGGAAAAUAAUGCAAAAUUUAUAGAUUAUUACAUAUAUCUGUAAAGUGCUUGAGUUGGGUGGAUGUAAAACUAAACAUUUCAAAAUUAUAAAACACUUUUUGUAUCAAAACAUAUGUUUUCCUUAAGAUGUAUGGGUCAUAACUGGAGGAGCUAUUUAAAUACUGGCGUCUCUUAGAAUUAAUUUUGGCAAUUUAGAACAGUGCUUGAAGGACAAUUGAAUGUGGAUUUUCUCACUUUAAGAUCUGUUUUUAUUUUAAGAUGGCUCAAUAGUAAUAAGCAUUUGAAUGCUUACUCUGCAAGGCAAUAUGAAAUAGAUAAAAAGACAGCUUCUUACAGCUUUGAUGGGGUAAUAAGAGAGUACAAAAUAACAAUAGUUGAUGACUAAAAUGUGUGUGUGUGUGUGUGUGUGUGUGAGAGAGAGAGAGAGAGAUGUCAAAUAACAAGUGGUAUUUACUUUCAUGAUGGAUGAAAUAACUACUUAAUUUUUACAGAAGAGAGGAGCCUUAAGCUUGAACUUGAAAUGGGCUAUAACUCAGAUAAAUGGCAAUUAUUUUUUCCCACUCAAGUUUUUUGGAACACCUACUUGUGUUAGGCACUAGGCUGGACACUGAGGAUUUAGAUAUCAAAGACAUGCUGCCCACAGGAAACUUACAUCGAAAAUGGCAGAUGAACACAAUUGCAGAGCACUAUGAUCUCUUUUGUGGAAAAAAUAGGCACAGGGCAAAUGAGAUCACAUAACAACCAACUGCCUUCUGACAUAAACAUUAUCAGUUACAGACAGUGCAAUUUGGGAAUCUGAAAGGUGCCUCUUCCCUUAAAAACUUUGUUUUCUCAUGUAAUUAAAAUCUUUCAUCUGUUUUAUUUAAAAAUAUAUAAAAUAGGCCAAUUAAAAGAGAGCUGAAAAGUCACACUUGGCUUGUAAAUCGGCUAGAUCAGGGCUUCUCAAACCCGAGGAUCUUGUUAUAAUGCAGGUUCUGGUUAAAUGCAGAAGGUCAAGGGCAGUCUGAGGCAGUGCAUUUUUAACAUACUCUAGGUGAUGCUGAUUCUGCUGGGUAAGUAGCAUAGUUCUAAUGACUGAUGAUUAAUUGAAAGACAAUAAUUUGGUGCUGUGACAUGCAAGCAAGGCACUUAUACUUUAGUAUUAUAUACAUAUACAGAGAGAACAACAGCAAGAAAAAUUCUACUUAACUGAGGCUUCAUUGUAUUUGGGCUUCUCUCUUUUCAAUCACAGGCAUCAAAUCUUUCUGGUAAGCAUGAAGAGUUAUUAUCAAACAGUUGUGUUAGUGUUUUCCAAGGUGUGAUUGAAAAUGGAGAUUUCUUACCUCAUCCCAGUCCUGCUAAACCAAAAUCUCUUAGGGAAGGAUGGGCCCCCCAGCAUUCACAGUUUAAGCAGCAUUACAGGAGAUUAUUAUUUACAUCAAAAUUUAAGAAUCAUUGGCUUAAACACAAAGAAAAAAAUGUAAUUUUAUUCUUCCAGAAUUGGCAAAUGCACAGCCUUAACCAGUCAACAAAGAUCUUCACCUGUGGGCUGUUUACUACAGCUGGGUGGAGCAGGCAAUGACCCAAACCUGCAUGAGUCUCCCAAUAUGAAUUGAUUUUCCUUUGAAGAAUAUCAAUUACUGGCAAUCAGCUAGUGAGAAUCCAGUUCUGCUCUCAUCUUGAUUUCAUCCCUCAUCUCUUCUAGAGAACUGAGGGAAAAUAAAUGCACCAAGAACUAACAUGGGAUUUUGGAAAGACAGUAAUGCCCUCAACAGAUGAUUUCAAAACAUUUGCUGUUUGAGGAGCAAAUAAAGCAUGAAAUAAACAGGUGGAUGAGGUUGGAAGAAAGGAGGGAGGUGAAAACUCCAUGCCACUGUUUAAUUCUUUCACUUCAGAAAUUCUACUGAUUGAUUGGUGAUUUGGGGAGUGGUGAAGAGAAUCCAUAACUGAUAUUUGUCUAAAAAACUUGGUCCUGGUCCAGGCAUAGUAGCUUAUGCUUGUAAUCUCCGCAAUUUGGGAGGCAGAAGCAGAAAGAUCCUUGAGCCCAGGAGUUCAAGUUUGCAGUGAGCUAUGAUCAUGCCACCGCACUAUAGCCUGGGUGACAGAGUGAGACUUUGUCUCUAAAAAUAAAUAAAAAGACAACUAGCUUUUUCUUUUUUAAUUUUCUUGAUUUCCUUAACUAUUAUAUUCUCAUUUUCUUGUUUGAUAAGAAUCAGGGGUCUGCCAGUCAAUUUGUUAUCUUAGACAAUGCCACUAAUGUUUUUGGUCAUUUAAUCCAGAGAAAGAACCCCCAGCUGUUUUGUUUGUUUGUUUGUUUGUUUUGUUUUGUUUUGAGGCAGAGUCUUAUUCUCACCCAGGCUGGAGUGCAGUGGCGCCGUCUCGGCUCACUGCAACCUCCACCUCCCAGGUUGAAGCAAUUCUUCUGCCUCAGUCUCCUGAGUAGCUGGGAUUACAGGCAUGCCCUACCACGCCCAGGUAAUUUUUGUAUUUUUAGUAGAUACGGAGUUUCACCAUGUUGGCCAGGCUAGUCUUGAACCCCUGACCUCAGGUAAUCCACCCGCCUUGGCCUCCCAAAGUGCUGGGAUUAUAGGCGUGUGCCACCACACCCAACCACUGUUUCUCAUAUUUGAAGAGCCAAGUGUUAUAUCUAGAUAAGCAUAUGCUUAGAAAGAUUUGCAGACUUUACAACACCUUUUGCUGGUUUUGCCCCCUUCUUUAUCUUAAAUUUGUCUUUUUGGUGCAGUGCACUCUAAACUUUCUAAAUUUAAAUUUAUAUUUAAAAUCUAAAAUUUGAUAGCCCAAAAAUGUCUUCACAGUAAUCCCUCAACUUCAUUUGUUUAUUUUUUAAUGUGAAUUUCAGUAAUGAUGAAUGUCCCAUGCCCUCUAUUCAGUGGGCAGGAUCUAGAGGUAGAGCUAGUUGGUUUUACUGUUGGUCAUAUUAACAAAGAAUUGCUAGGUCACCAUGUCCCUCUCAUUCUUCUCACAUCCCCUCCUCAAUUGCAAGGCAAAUCAUCAUAACUUUUUCUCAGUAAUGAUGGAUAUUCCGUGCUCUCUAUUCACUUGGCAGGGUCUGGUGGUAGAACUAGUUGAUUUCACUAACAAAGAAUUGCUGGGUCACCAUGGCCCCCUCAUUCUUCCCAUAUCCUCUCCUCAACUGCAAGGUUAACGAACAUCUCUCUCUCUCUCUUUCUUCUUCUUCUUUUUACUGGGUCUCAUCACUCCAAGGUUCUUUAUUUUAAGAAAGAAAAAAAAAACUGACUAGAAGAUUAAGGACAUUAGUUUUCUGUGGAUUGGGAAGAUACAAGUUAAUUUGAACUUAAGAAAUUUGUAAUUGCAUCACUACCUGUGGUGUUGUCCGGUGUGACUCUACAAGUGGGCAGAGGGUUACCCAUAUCAGAAUCACCUGUGGAAUUGUUCAAAUCAAAGCUUCCUGUGUCCCACCUCUGAUCCUUCUAAAUCAGAUCCUCUGUAGGUCAAUGUGUAGUUCCCCCAUUUCCCAUUCCCACCUCCAUGAGUUUUAUGUAUGCUAAGAUUUGAAAGCCACUGAUCGGCCUAUCUCUAAAAUCCUAGAUUACAAAUGAAGACAUUAGGAAAUAUAUGCAAUAUUAACCUCCAGCAACUGUCACAAGUUUGGUCAAUAGUUUUUCUGAAAUAUUUUACUGCAGUGACUUUAAAACUUUUGACCAUGACCUGCAGUAAAAAUACAUUUAUAAACACAUUGAACAUCAGUGCGCACACACACACUCAGACUCACUUACAACGAAAUACAACUUACCCUUACUACCUGCAAUGCACUCAGAUCUUUUUACUCUUUCUUAUCUCUCUUUCUCUCAAUCUCACACUUUCUCUUUUUCUUUUAAUGCUUUCUAAGACCCACUAAAUUAAUUUCCUAGCACACUAAGGUGUCAUGACCUACAGUCUGAAAACACCAACUUUCUAUAUGAAUAUUUCUGAAUUCAAAAACAGAACAGAACAAUGAUCAUCUCUAGAUCCUUGGAUGCACCACCAAUUGAACUCCUAAGGAGGAAAUUCACAAUGCUUCCAAUGGAUUCGAGUUUACCUAAGAUUAUUUUUGGUACUAACCAAGAAUGAUUUUUUCACUGCUUUUUUUUCUUAAGUGGUUGGGCACCAGUCUGUCCCUACUAAGCAAUGAAAUCUGAUGCACUUACAGUUUUCAUACAGUGGAAAUCUGAAGACAGGCAAAAGGCAAAUUAAGAACACUGAAUGUGAUUCAGUUACUAUUUUAAAAAAUAGACAUUUAUCAUCACUUCCCAAUAUUAUUUCAUUGUGAUAAUUGAGCUAAUGUUGUUUGCUAUAUAAAGUAUUGGAGGAAAAUAAGUUAGAGAUUAUAAAUGUAUUUAAAAUAUAUUCUUGUAAAUUUGUAUUUUAUUUUUGCAUCAGUUUUGGAUUGGGGUUAAAGGAGAAAAUAGUGGUUUUCUUUUAUAAAGAAGAAAAAUUUUAAAAACUGCUUACCAGGAAUUUAAAUUAUUAGUUUUAUUAAUAACAUUAGUUUCAUAAAAACUAGAUAAAAUGUUGCUAUUUUGUAUUUCUUAAUUUACCAAACAUAAAUGUCUUUGAUUCCUAGGAAAUUAAAAUUUUAAGGGCUAAUUCCCCUUCAUUCAAGAAAUAUUUACUGUGAUGAAGACAUGUUCCAUGCAGAGGAAAUGGCCAAUGCAAAGAGCCCCUGACUGGAGGGCAUUUGGCACAUUCUAGGAGAGUGAGGAGGAUUCUAUGGGCCAGGAAUUCAGACAGGGCACAGUGUUGAUGGCUUGUCUGUGUCCUGGCUGGGAUGGCUCAAAUGGUUGUGGGACUAUUUGACUUGAAAGGCUGGAGCCUGGAAUCAUUUGAAACAUUGUUCACUCAUGUGUCUGGCACCUGCGUUAGAAUGACUGAAGGCUACAUCAACUAGAGUACUUACAUCCGGUCUCUCCAUGUGACUUGGACUUUUCACAGCGUGGAGGCUGGAUUUCAAAGGCAGGAAGACACCAUAUCAGGAAAAAGAGAGUGAACAACUGAGUCAAUUGCUGCUGAUGGUCAAGUCAGAAGAAGACUUGGAAUUAACAUAAGAUCUAGCAUCAUGUCAACUGAGAAUGGCAGAGGACUCAUCCCACCUUUGCCACAUGGUGACUUGCCCCACUCCCCCAGGUGACCUUGCUCGUGCAUGUGGAUAUUUGCUCAGAUUAAGAAUGUUUCCCACAAAAUUGCUUACUCUCUUUCAUUCUGUCCGUGGUUGCUUGUGGUUUAUUUGUUGAUAACUGAGACUAUUUAAAGAUUGCCAAAACAAAAGCCAUUUCUUUUCUCCCCGAAUAGCCUCAUUUUUUCUAUUCCCUUUUUCCCCUCCUAUUAACAUUUCUGGGGACUCUAAAGCAGAGCUCAAGAUGGUUCAGGACCACGGAGAGCGCAAGGAAGGGGAACUACCAAAGCACUUUAGUCAUGCAGGUGGGGAAAGAGAUGAUCCUAAAAUUGUUUUUAUUUUUCUGUUUUUUUGAGAGGGAGUCUCGCUCUGUCACCCAGGCUGGAGUGCAGUAGCACGAUCUUGGCUCACUUCAACCUCCGCGUCCCGGGUCCAAGCGAUUCUAGCGCCUCAGCCUCCUGAGUAGCUGGGAUUACAGGUGUGCACCACCAUGCCCAGCUAAUUUUUUGUAUUUUUAGUAGAGACUGGGUUUUGCCAUGUUGGCCAGGCUGGUCUCCAAUUCCUGACCUCCAGUGAUCCACCCCCCUCAGUCUCCCAAAGUGCUGGGAUUACAGGCGUGAGCCACCACGCCCAGCCAAUAGUGGAAUUGUUGCCGGACAAUAUUUAUUUAAAAGACAUUAUUGUAAAGAGUAACAGUGUAAUUCUGGCUCCUUGAAAUUUGAGGGGAAUGAUUUUUCUGGACAUUCGACCAGUGCUUUCUAAAUUUCUCCACUGAAUUCUAUCUAAUGACAGAUGAGAGGACACUGAAAGUAGGAGUAGCCAUAAGUCACCAGUGCAAAAUGUCUUUUGAAGUUUGCAUUUAUUGAUUGCUACCAUUUAUGUAAAGUUUUACAGUUUUGACAGUCAUAGGGUUCACCAAUCCACCAUAGAAGAGAAUUAAGUCAUGCGGACACAGCAGGGUUUAGAAUGGAUGAGUAGAGGAGUGUGUGCAGGCUCCAGUCCCCAAAGUCUCUAGGACUGUCCUAGAACCUGCAGCUCAUCUGUCAAUUCUGUCAACUACUCAGGAUCCUCUCAAGAAUUAUCCCCCCAUACCCACCUUUUAAAUUUCCUCAAGCUAGUUUCAUUUGAGUUUUGUCACUUGCAACUGAAUGAGCCCUGCUAAUGCAGAUAGAUUCAAUUGAGAAGGGGAAUUCUAGGCUAGGAGUACAAGGUUACAGGCAAGGAGACAGGAACAUAGCUUGGGAUUUCCUGGGGCAGUGAGAAAACUGACUUUAAAAAAAUGGAAUGGUUUCUAAAAUGUUUGUACAACUUCUCUGUAUGGCAAUGGGGUAGGAGUAUAAAUUCUUUCAGCUUCUUCUGAGGGCAGCUGAACAAGAAGUAUAAAAAUUUUGAAUGCUGAUAACAUUUGACCUAGCAAUUCCAUCUCUAGAAAUAAAUUCUACAGUAGUAAUCUUAAAAACGUAUUCACUGAAAUGUUAUUUUCUCAUAGAAAAUGUCGAAACAACAUAUGUGUCCAUCAAUAGAGAACUUGCUAAAUGAUUUAUACUACCUUUACAUAUUGAAAUACGCAUAGCCGUGGAAGAUAAUUUAGUAGAUCUAUAUGUCCCAUUAUGGAACAAUCCCCAUGGUGGGGGGAAAAGUAAGGUGCAGAACUGUAUCAUAGAUGUUCUCUCUCUCUCUCUUUUUUUUUGGAAAGCACAUGUAUGCUUUUAUAUACACAGAAAAAUUCUAGAAUGGCAAACAAGAUAUCUUUGCAAUAGUUUUUUUCUGGGAGGGGACUCAUUUAAAAAAAUUCUCCCAUAUUGCUUGUUUUGUUUUGUUAAAGACAUCCAUGUAUUCCUACUUGGGUUAAGCCAUGAUAACUAAAUAUGAUUAAAGUUCAGAACAAUAAAAACCUUAGAGAUGUAUACAUAAAUAUCACUUGCUUAGGAAUUUCUAGGUAGGUACUAUUUUAAGCCCUCUACAUAUAUUAUUUCAUUCAAUCCUUGGAGCAACUCUAGGAGGGAGGUGUUAUCCUCUAAUUGCAGAUGAGGUUGAUGAAGCUUAAAGAGUAAUGAUGCCUUGAGUCCAUCCUCUGGCUCCAAAGCCCUUGUAUUUAACUGUUCUCCCUUUUGCAUCCCUGUGCUAAAGUGACUUUGCUAUAAUAUCCACAAGGAAGAAUUUCUGUGUAAAAAUUAGACUUCCUUGCAGGCAGUCUAUCAGUGAUAUCCAAUAAAGACUCAAUAAUGGCUAACAAUACAAACCACACACACAAGAAAAACUUCUCCUUUUGUGCCAGGUACUUAGAUUAGGUGUAGUGGUUUUCUUAAACUGAUUAUCAAGGUAAACACCACCUCAUACAUUUCAGCAGAGAGCAGUGGUUUCUCUCUCCAGCAGUGGGAGCCAUUGAAUCAGGACAAUGCCACACAGUUGGGCUUUCAUGUUAGAUAGAUCACUCUUGUGGUUUUGGGGGAUGGCAUUAUAAGAGAGGAGACUGGAGACAGGGGGGCUAUUGUCAUGCAGAUUUGUUGGAUGUCCACCCAGCAUUCACUUUUUCCAUCUUUUGCCAGGGGUACACUACACAACAUCACCAGUCAUUUCAUAGAAUGGCAAUUAGAUUAGGCUUAGGUCUGCACUGCCUUCCUUCACUCCGCUCUGUCACUUGCCAUCAUUGUAAAUGCUGACAACUUAGUGCCUUUCAUGCUUCAAGUAUCAAUAAGAUAGGAAUAGUAAUAGUAUCACAUUGAAUUAUUGUGGAGUUUUGAACAGAUGAUACUUGUGUUAUCAGUGCUCAAUAAAUAUUAGCUGUCCUCUUCCUUAUUGUUGUUGUCCUCAACUAUGUAUUUUAAAUGGGAUUAGUCACACAACUCCUCAUGUCCCCCACCCAUUAAUACCUGACUCCUUUGCAAAACAAAGCAUAGCAUAUGGUGGUGGGGAUUACAAAAUCGUUACAGAAAUUUCAUAUGUAAAAAAGGGGCAAGAGUUGGCCAGUUUGACACUUCCUUAACCUAUUUUAUUUUUCUUAAAUAUUACAGUAUCACCAGAUAUACUUUCUAUUUAUUUCUUCUCUGAGAGUAUGCAAUUUGUCUGAUGUGUUGCCUGCUGUUUUUGGGUGAGUGAUAAAUAUGAGUUCUAUAUAGGGGGUGAAGAAAGCAUUCCAUGAGUGGGACUGUAUGAACAAUGGAGAAAAGUCAUGAAGGAAAGAUGGCAUUCCAUGUGGACUCGAGUAAAGUGAACAUGAUAUCUUGUCUAUAAGGGGGAUCAUACAUUUAAAGCAUUCAGCAACCUGUAACCAACACAACAGUCUUUCCAAGAAGAAGAGAGUAUGAGCUUUUAGAGGGGAAGAAAAGUAUCCUCUUCCCUUGAGAAGCAUUCAGAGCAUCUAGUAUCACACUUGGGAUAUAGCAGGCAUUUGGUACUCAAUUAAAGAAUAGAAUGUGAUUAAAUAACUUUGAGGGCCCACAUGGAUGACUUUGAAUACGGAUCAAAAGUUUGGACUUAGCUUGUCAGUAAUGAGGAGCCUUUGGUAUGAUCAACAGGAGAAGUAACAUAGCACAUCUGAGAUAUAGAGUAAAAUGGAAACCUUGAGCAAAGGUAGGCUAGUUAGGAGUCUGUUUCAAUAGACCAAAGGAGAUGGAGAGCAUGAGGGGCUCAGUUAGUCUUGUGGUGGUGGAAAUAAAGAGGAAAAAGCAGGUGCAGAAAACAUUCAGAGGAGGAAACAAUGGGCUGUUGAAACAAAUUGGAUAUUUGGGACAAUAGCAAGAGAAAAGUCAAAGAUAACUGGGAUUUUAAUCCUGAGCAACGGGUAGGCUAGUGAGACAUCUAAUCACUCUCCCCGUCUCCUUCCCUGAAAGUUAAUUACUCACAGAAAAAGCAUUAGCCAGAAGUCAGCAUGUUUACAUCAGUUCCUUAACCCUGCAAGUCCACAUUGGUGAUGCAGGUGGCCAAGACAGGUGCUGCACACACUGGAUUACAGCAUGGAAGAGGAGCCCAGGGUCAUGGAGGCACCCAGCAAGUGGCAAAAUAUGGGCACCUUGACCUACUGGGUUGCCUAUGUGACCAGCUACAGAAGCUGCUCAGUAUCAGGAGCUGGAGCUGCCUGCAAUCUGGCCACUCAGCAAGAAUUUUCAGAGACUGUUUCUAUUCCAUAGUGGAUGCUCCAUCCAACACCAUUCUUUUAAAGUGCGCACAUCUGAUCACUUUCCAAGUAUAAAUGGCCUGAAUUUAUUUUCCUUUCUUUACCAAAAUCCAACCUAAGUAAUUUUUUUCUUUCCAUACUCCUUAUUCAUGAACUCUAAUUGUUGGUAACUUUGAGAGCAUUGGUCAUCUUAAUUUCUUACCACUAAUGACAUGACAAGUUAAUUUCUGCAAUAAGAACAGCUAAAAUUAUUUUUAUAUCUUCUAACAUAAUAUUUUGUCAUGAAUGCUUUCCUAGAAUCUUCCUUCUGGAAUCCUACUUUUUAUGUAGUUUGGAGAUUCUCUUUUCUAAAAUAAAGAUUAGCAUGUAAGAUAAUAAAGUUAUUAUAUAUUUCAUCCAAACUGUAAAAAUACAUUGAAUAUUUUACUUCUUAAUUCCUCUAGGUAAUAUAAAAGUAUUUUAGACAGUUUUAUAUUGUAUUAAUUGAAGCAUAUCAAAGUUGAUUGAUUUCUAAAGACUGUGAACUCAACCCACAUAAGAGGAGGCAAAAGUAAAGAUUAGAACUUGCCAUUUCUAUUCCAGUCCAUUAAUUCUAGCUUAAGCUAUUUCUGAUAAGUGUGUACUCUGGAGAAAAAAAAAAUGUUAUUUGAAGAGUGGCCACUAUAUUUGUUUCUGGCAAAACUAAAGUUUUAAAAUUCCAGUUCCUCAACAAAUGGAAGAUGGAAUUUUCCAGUUCUUCAAAGUAUGAUUUUUAGGACUUGCUACUAAAGGUUAAAUUUUCUCUCUCUAUUAUAACAUAUUCAUGGAUCCUUUAGACAUUAAAGUAAAGUUGGAGUGGAAGAGUAGAAAAUAACAGA